This 440-nucleotide ribosomal RNA is filed under the name uncultured bacterium. RNAcentral describes it as "partial 16S ribosomal RNA". It matches the Rfam family "Bacterial small subunit ribosomal RNA", at positions 338 to 795 of the family's 1533-position model. The record is from RNAcentral.
CCUACGGGAGGCAGCAGUAGGGAAUAUUGCACAAUGGGGGAAACCCUGAAGCAGCAACGCCGCGUGGAGGAUGAAGGUUUUCGGAUUGUAAACUCCUUUUGUUAGAGAAGAAAAUGACGGUAACUAACGAAUAAGCACUGGCUAACUACGUGCCAGCAGCCGCGGUAAUACGGAGGGUGCAAGCGUUACUCGGAAUCACUGGGCGUAACGAGCGCGGAGGCGGGAUAGCAAGUCAGAUGUGAAAUCCUAUGGCUUAACCAUAGAACUGCAUUUGAAACUGUUAUUCUAGAGUAUGGGAGAGGUAGGUGGAAUUCUUGGUGUAGGGGUAAAAUCCGUAGAGAUCAAGAGGAAUACUCAUGGCGAAGGCGACCUGCUAGAACAUAACUGACGCUGAUGCGCGAAAGCGUGGGGAGCAAACAGGAUUAGAUACCCGGGUAGUC